AAGAAGCCAAGCCAGAGUAGACUAUCAUCCUUUUAGGAAAACGUGUAGGUAUUUUUGGUCAUUCCUCAACACCAAGGCCAUGGCCGAAAGUUGCCACUGAAAUUUUCAAGUGAAUUCUCAGCUCCAAAUUUCGGCUGAUUUUCAGUUUUCCCUGAUAAGGAACCAUAUUGCUUGAAUAAUUUGCGGCAUUCUGAUUUUUAGACAAGAAUUUGGAGUUGGUCAAUUAGACAAGAAUUUGGAGCUCAUAGGAGUGUUAGGAAUAUGGACCUUGUGCAUUCAGAACCAACCGGUUAGAUUCGAAUACGGUACCACAAGAUCCUGAUUAAUCACUGUUUUCGAGGUCACUUGGGGGUGGAUCCCCACAUGACCAAAGCCUGUUUUGAGUACAAACCUCCCCACUAAUAACAAACCAGGCCGCCAUUUAAAACUACUGGGAGGUUUUCUAAAAAAAAUGGGGGCAGUUUUUAUAAAAAAACAGGGCAUUUGUUCUGGCCACAACAAAAAUUCAAAAAAAAUAUAAAAUUUUAAAAUAUAAGGGAUCGGUUUUUAACGUGUUUUUUGAGUUGUGGCCAUGAGUACAUAUUUUUACAAUUUUUUCAAUUUUUUUAGAAAAUUUUGAAAAUAUACUUGGGCAGAAGAAAUAGAUUUUUUAAAAUAUAUUUUUUUUCACCACGUUUUAACUUUAUUUGGAUUUUCUUUAUUUAAUCAUGCUUUUAAUAUAGUUUUUAUAUUCUUUUUAGAUUUUUUUCAUUUUUUAACACUUCUUGGUCCGGCAGGGAUAGACCGGUUGAACCCGUUUUCAGUAGCCGAUUUGAUUUUGUCUUAACACUGGCUCAGGCGGAACAAAUAUAGUUUAAUUGGUAAUAGAAAAUAAUGUCCAAAAUUUGGCGGGUUGUGUAUGCAUGCAAGUUUGAAAGAAUGCUUCUGAAAGUCCGGGUUUGUGAUGACAG
This 950-nucleotide long non-coding RNA is filed under the name Amborella trichopoda. RNAcentral describes it as "long non-coding RNA (ATRI_LNC004247)". Lineage: Eukaryota; Viridiplantae; Streptophyta; Magnoliopsida; Amborellales; Amborellaceae. The record is from RNAcentral.